CCUACGGGAGGCAGCAGUGAGGAAUAUUGGUCAAUGGACGAGAGUCUGAACCAGCCAAGUAGCGUGAAGGAUGACUGCCCUAUGGGUUGUAAACUUCUUUUAUAUGGGAAUAAAAUGUUCCACGUGUGGGCUUUUGAAUGUACCAUAUGAAUAAGGAUCGGCUAACUCCGUGCCAGCAGCCGCGGUAAUACGGAGGAGCCGAGCGUUAUCCGGAUUUAUUGGGUUUAAAGGGAGCGUAGGUGGAUUGUUAAGUCAGUUGUGAAAGUUUGCGGCUCAACCGUAAAAUUGCAGUUGAAACUGGCAGGCUUGAGUUCAGUAGAGGUGGGCGGAAUUCGUGGUGUAGCGGUGAAAUGCUGAGAUAUCACGAAGAACACCGAUUGCGAAGGCAGUUCACUGGACUGCAACUGACGCUGAGGCUCGAAAGUGUGGGUAUCAAACAGGAUUAGAUACCCCAGUAGUC
Molecule: ribosomal RNA, 460 nt
Filed under: uncultured bacterium
Lineage: Bacteria
Description: partial 16S ribosomal RNA
Rfam family: Bacterial small subunit ribosomal RNA
Source: RNAcentral